CACGCCCUAAACGAUGUCAACUGGUUGUUGGGUCUUUACUGACUCAGUAACGAAGCUAACGCGUGAAGUUGACCGCCUGGGGAGUACGGUCGCAAGACUAAAACUCAAAUGAAUUGACGGGGGCCCGCACAAGCGGUGGAGCAUGUGGUUUAAUUCGAUGCAACGCGAAGAACCUUACCUGGCCUUGACAUGUCUGGAAUCCUGCAGAGAUGCGGGAGUGCCUUCGGGAAUCAGAACACAGGUGC
Molecule: ribosomal RNA, 245 nt
Filed under: uncultured bacterium
Lineage: Bacteria
Description: partial 16S ribosomal RNA
Rfam family: Bacterial small subunit ribosomal RNA
Source: RNAcentral